RNAcentral lists this ribosomal RNA (2758 nucleotides) under Klebsiella pneumoniae. RNAcentral's name for it is "bacterial LSU rRNA". It matches the Rfam family "Bacterial large subunit ribosomal RNA". Lineage: Bacteria; Pseudomonadati; Pseudomonadota; Gammaproteobacteria; Enterobacterales; Enterobacteriaceae. The record is from RNAcentral.
CACUAUCGUUAACUGAAUACAUAGGUUAACGAGGCGAACCGGGGGAACUGAAACAUCUAAGUACCCCGAGGAAAAGAAAUCAACCGAGAUUCCCCCAGUAGCGGCGAGCGAACGGGGAGCAGCCCAGAGUCUGAAUCAGCUUGUGUGUUAGUGGAACGGUCUGGAAAGUCCGACGGUACAGGGUGAUAGUCCCGUACACCAAAAUGCACAGGUUGUGAACUCGAAGAGUAGGGCGGGACACGUGGUAUCCUGUCUGAAUAUGGGGGGACCAUCCUCCAAGGCUAAAUACUCCUGACUGACCGAUAGUGAACCAGUACCGUGAGGGAAAGGCGAAAAGAACCCCGGCGAGGGGAGUGAAAAAGAACCUGAAACCGUGUACGUACAAGCAGUGGGAGCACCUUCGGGUGUGACUGCGUACCUUUUGUAUAAUGGGUCAGCGACUUAUAUUCUGUAGCAAGGUUAACCGUAUAGGGGAGCCGCAGGGAAACCGAGUCUUAACUGGGCGUUAAGUUGCAGGGUAUAGACCCGAAACCCGGUGAUCUAGCCAUGGGCAGGUUGAAGGUUGGGUAACACUAACUGGAGGACCGAACCGACUAAUGUUGAAAAAUUAGCGGAUGACUUGUGGCUGGGGGUGAAAGGCCAAUCAAACCGGGAGAUAGCUGGUUCUCCCCGAAAGCUAUUUAGGUAGCGCCUCGUGAACUCAUCUUCGGGGGUAGAGCACUGUUUCGGCUAGGGGGUCAUCCCGACUUACCAACCCGAUGCAAACUACGAAUACCGAAGAAUGUUAUCACGGGAGACACACGGCGGGUGCUAACGUCCGUCGUGAAGAGGGAAACAACCCAGACCGCCAGCUAAGGUCCCAAAGUCAUGGUUAAGUGGGAAACGAUGUGGGAAGGCACAGACAGCCAGGAUGUUGGCUUAGAAGCAGCCAUCAUUUAAAGAAAGCGUAAUAGCUCACUGGUCGAGUCGGCCUGCGCGGAAGAUGUAACGGGGCUAAACCAUGCACCGAAGCUGCGGCAGCGACACUAUGUGUUGUUGGGUAGGGGAGCGUUCUGUAAGCCUGCGAAGGUGUGCUGUGAGGCAUGCUGGAGGUAUCAGAAGUGCGAAUGCUGACAUAAGUAACGAUAAAGCGGGUGAAAAGCCCGCUCGCCGGAAGACCAAGGGUUCCUGUCCAACGUUAAUCGGGGCAGGGUGAGUCGACCCCUAAGGCGAGGCCGAAAGGCGUAGUCGAUGGGAAACAGGUUAAUAUUCCUGUACUUGGUGUUACUGCGAAGGGGGGACGGAGAAGGCUAUGUUAGCCGGGCGACGGUUGUCCCGGUUUAAGCAUGUAGGCUGGUUGUCCAGGCAAAUCCGGAUAAUCAAGGCUGAGGUGUGAUGACGAGGCACUACGGUGCUGAAGUAACAAAUGCCCUGCUUCCAGGAAAAGCCUCUAAGCAUCAGGUAACAUCAAAUCGUACCCCAAACCGACACAGGUGGUCAGGUAGAGAAUACCAAGGCGCUUGAGAGAACUCGGGUGAAGGAACUAGGCAAAAUGGUGCCGUAACUUCGGGAGAAGGCACGCUGGUGUGUAGGUGAAGUCCCUGCGGAUGGAGCUGAGACCAGUCGAAGAUACCAGCUGGCUGCAACUGUUUAUUAAAAACACAGCACUGUGCAAACACGAAAGUGGACGUAUACGGUGUGACGCCUGCCCGGUGCCGGAAGGUUAAUUGAUGGGGUUAUCCGUAAGGAGAAGCUCUUGAUCGAAGCCCCGGUAAACGGCGGCCGUAACUAUAACGGUCCUAAGGUAGCGAAAUUCCUUGUCGGGUAAGUUCCGACCUGCACGAAUGGCGUAAUGAUGGCCAGGCUGUCUCCACCCGAGACUCAGUGAAAUUGAACUCGCUGUGAAGAUGCAGUGUACCCGCGGCAAGACGGAAAGACCCCGUGAACCUUUACUAUAGCUUGACACUGAACAUUGAGCCUUGAUGUGUAGGAUAGGUGGGAGGCUUUGAAGCGUGGACGCCAGUCUGCGUGGAGCCAACCUUGAAAUACCACCCUUUAAUGUUUGAUGUUCUAACGUUGGCCCCUGACCGGGGUUGCGGACAGUGUCUGGUGGGUAGUUUGACUGGGGCGGUCUCCUCCCAAAGCGUAACGGAGGAGCACGAAGGUUAGCUAAUCCUGGUCGGACAUCAGGAGGUUAGUGCAAUGGCAUAAGCUAGCUUGACUGCGAGCGUGACGGCGCGAGCAGGUGCGAAAGCAGGUCAUAGUGAUCCGGUGGUUCUGAAUGGAAGGGCCAUCGCUCAACGGAUAAAAGGUACUCCGGGGAUAACAGGCUGAUACCGCCCAAGAGUUCAUAUCGACGGCGGUGUUUGGCACCUCGAUGUCGGCUCAUCACAUCCUGGGGCUGAAGUAGGUCCCAAGGGUAUGGCUGUUCGCCAUUUAAAGUGGUACGCGAGCUGGGUUUAGAACGUCGUGAGACAGUUCGGUCCCUAUCUGCCGUGGGCGCUGGAGAAUUGAGGGGGGCUGCUCCUAGUACGAGAGGACCGGAGUGGACGCAUCACUGGUGUUCGGGUUGUCAUGCCAAUGGCACUGCCCGGUAGCUAAAUGCGGAAGAGAUAAGUGCUGAAAGCAUCUAAGCACGAAACUUGCCCCGAGAUGAGUUCUCCCUGAGACUAUAAGUCUCCUGAAGGAACGUUAAAGACGAUGACGUUGAUAGGCCGGGUGUGUAAGCGCAGCGAUGCGUUGAGCUAACCGGUACUAAUGAACCGUGAGGCUUAACCUU